This 889-nucleotide ribosomal RNA is filed under the name uncultured archaeon. RNAcentral's name for it is "bacterial SSU rRNA". It matches the Rfam family "Archaeal small subunit ribosomal RNA", at positions 21 to 919 of the family's 1478-position model. The record is from RNAcentral.
CCUGACUGCUAUCGGAUUGAUACUAAGCCAUGCGAGUCAUUGUAGCAAUACAAGGCAGACGGCUCAGUAACGCGUAGUCAACCUACCCUAUAGACGGGAAUAACCUCGGGAAACUGAGAAUAAUGCCCGAUAGAACAUUAUGCCUGGAAUGGUUUAUGUUCCAAAUGAUUUAUCGCUGUAGGAUGGGACUGCGGCCUAUCAGUUUGUUGGUGAGGUAAUGGCCCACCAAGACUAUUACAGGUACGGGCUCUGAGAGGAGUAGCCCGGAGAUGGGUACUGAGACACGGACCCAGGCCCUAUGGGGCGCAGCAGGCGAGAAAACUUUGCAAUGUGCGAAAGCACGACAAGGUUAAUCCGAGUGGUUUCUGCUAAAGGAACCUUUUGUCAGUCCUAGAAACACUGAUGAAUAAGGGGUGGGCAAGUUCUGGUGUCAGCCGCCGCGGUAAAACCAGCACCUCAAGUGGUCAGGAUGAUUAUUGGGCCUAAAGCAUCCGUAGCCGGCUCUAUAAGUUUUCGGUUAAAUCUGUACGCUCAACGUACAGGCUGCCGGGAAUACUGCAGAGCUAGGGAGUGGGAGAGGUAGACGGUACUCGGUAGGAAGGGGUAAAAUCCUUUGAUCUAUUGAUGACCACCUGUGGCGAAGGCGGUCUACCAGAACACGUCCGACGGUGAGGGAUGAAAGCUGGGGGAGCAAACCGGAUUAGAUACCCGGGUAGUCCCAGCUGUAAACUAUGCAAACUCAGUGAUGCAUUGGCUUGUGGCCAACGCAGUGCUGCANGGAAGCCGUUAAGUUUGCCGCCUGGGAAGUACGUACGCAAGUAUGAAACUUAAAGGAAUUGGCGGGGAGCACCCACAGGGGUGAAGCCUGCGGUUUCAUUGGAGUCACGCC